UUGCAGACAGAUAUUUCGAUUAUAUAAAACAUUAUAUAUAAAACAUAUAAAAUAAAUAAAUAUAGUUAUAUAUGCGAUUAUAUAACUAUGCUUUAUAGUACAAAGUAUAUUUCAAUAUAGACUGUAAAAAUGGUGACAAGUCAUAAACAUUUUAAACGUUUAAAAUUAGAGAAGGUUAAAAUGAAAAUAAAAGUAAAGAAAAGUAAACUAUUACCAAAAGAAUUAAAUGUAACAGACAUUAUUUAAAAUUUUAAAAAUCGUGAUUUAUAAACAGUUCUAAUAAAAUGAUGAAGCUGAAAGUGUUAUUAAGCUUAAUGUUGAGAUUACCAUUUGUACAUGGCACAACACCCCACAUAUCUAAGCCAUCCUCUGUCAGCGUUCCAGUCUGUACAAGUAGAUGAAAGUAAAGAAGAAAUUUGAUAUUUCAUAGUCUCCAAAUCUGUAGAUUAAUGACUUUUUAACAAUAUGUUAAUUAUUAUUUUCUAACAUUCUUACCUUAUCAAAACACACACAAUUAAUACUGCCAGAGACAUUAAUGACCCUAUUAUUGAUACAAUAGAUUUGUGUACGUUUUAAUCUUGCUUGUGCAUAUAAUUUUCCUACUGUCAUUGCAGCUGGUAAAGCUGGAGGAACGACUAUUGUAAUUAUAUCUAGAGCUUUAAUUGCAAUAUCACCUGCUGUAAUUCCUCUUGAGGCCUAAUUUUUGUAAAAGAUAUUGAAUAGUCUGAUAGUAGAAAUAGCUAAUAAUAGAUUCAUAGCCAUAGGACUUUUUUCUACCUUGGUAACAACCGUAUAUAUAAAACCACAAGUAGCAACACAUGCGAGUAUUCCAAUGAAUUUAUAUGAAUCUUGAUCGAAUUUGAAGUCUGCUGGUGGAGGAUAUAAUAUAGCUGCGACUAAUGCACCUCUAUUAGUUUGUAGACCUGUUCUAAUGACUCUUGCAAGAACUGGUUUAUUUCCAUAACAUCUACGAUAUGGAAGAUAAUUUGUUGAAUUUUAGAAAUAUUUAGAAAUAUGCAAUUUUACAUUUUUUUUUCAUUAUACAUACCUAGUUUGAAUUAUAGUAGUUCCACUGUAUAAUGUAUGAUGAGAAGACUGUUUUGAAUCAUAUGGCACUUGAUUUGAUGGUAAUGGUGUUUUAGAAACUGGUACAGAUUCACCUAAUCAAAAAAGAAAUAUUUCUUCAAUUGAUAUUAACUGUCAAAUAAAUUUUCAAUGAGAUAUACUUACCAGUUAGCAUAGAUUCAUUUAUUAUACAUUGUCCAGUCAAUAAUACUGCAUCACACACAACUGUCCCAUGAUGGUUUGGUAAUUCUAUAAUAUCACCUGGUACUAGUUCAUUACUUGAAAUGCUUUCAAAUAUACCAGAACUUCGAUAUACUCUAACAUUUUCAAAUGAGGCCACAGUUCCUUUUAGAUUCAGCUGAUUCUAAUGUAUACACAUAUUACAUUUUUACACAUAUUAAAUUAACAAAAAAUAUAAUUGGAUAAUUAUAGUUGUAAUCUAUUUACUUUACGUGUUUGCAAAAUGGAACUUGUAAUUCCAAAAACAGACAUGCAUAUUAUAGCAAUGGUGUAAUAGAGGUACUCUUCGGCAAACCAUACUGCUAAAGUAAAUACUUGAAAGAUGUAAAAAGGAUUUAAAACUUCCAAUAACAAUAAUACACCUAUGCUUUGUACUGGCACAACAAUCUCAUUGUUUCCAUAGACGAUUCGCCUAUAAAGUUUAAAUAAAUAAAAGUAAAUUUUCUGUAUAAGUAGAAUUCGAUAUUAAGCAAUUAAUAAGGUUUAUAUAUUAAAUUACUUUAUUUUAUAUGUUAAAAUACCUUAGGAAUUGCUCUUCCUUAGAAAGUCCUUUGUUCUGACCAAGAUGAAGGUCUGAACACAACAUAUAUUUGUCAAGACCAACGAGUUUAGAAAAUGCGUUUUGUGUAACAUCCCAAAUAUAACAUUGUUUUUUACACCAGAAUGCUUUAUACUCUGUUACUUCAGAUUUUGUACCAUUUUCUAAAUUAAGUUUAAGUUUUUUAUUUCUGACACUUUCAAGCAAGUUUAUACUAUUACUCCCCAAAAUUGAACUGAAUGAUUUAUCACUGAAAAAUGUAUCAUCUAAUAAGAUAUUAUCUCUAUAAGAUAUUAAUUGUUAAUCAAUGAUAAUCGAAAUAUCAUUCCAGUAGAUUAUCUUAUUAUUAUAAUUGAAUUACGUUAUGUACGCUCUUAUGUCUAUUCUUACGAAUUAUAAUUAUAUCAUAAUCAUAUAUAUGUAAUUGAAAUUCAACUGACCUCACGUUUUCAGUAGAUAUUGUCUUAAUGUUCUUCACGAAAUAGGAUUUAUACCUUCCUUGAUAGUCAUCCUGCAUGUAUAAUUAUUGUUAUUUUACGUAAAUUUUUAUCUUCUAUUAAGAGAAAAAUAAUAAUGGUAGGCUUGUGCGUUAAUAAUGAUUUUAAUUGUUUCAAGAAGUAAUAACACUUACGAUCACAAGCAAUUUUGUGGCUUCCUUUAAAGGGCAUUUCCUAUGUGUUGCAUACAAAUACAAUCGCGGGUACCAAUGGAAAAGAAGUCUUACGAAACCGACAGUUAAUAUAUAAGAAAUGUAAAUUAUAAUCGUUUUCAAUGUACUCCUUUCAAAUCCAUAUACUUGCUGAAAUUAUAUAUUUACAUAUUUUAAUAGGGUAUAUCAUAUAUAUAUAUAACAUCGAAGAAUAAAAAACAACAAAAAAGUAAUCUUACUAUAUCUUCAUCUUGGCCAGUUUGGAUCUUUUGACAGUCUAUUUUCGACUGUUCAUCUUUCUUUAUGGCUAGGACAGAAGAUUAACGUAUAUACAUAGAUACAAUUAAAUUAUAAGUAGAAUAUAAUGAAAUAUACAUAUAUUUUGAGAUAGCAGUAAAGAAAUAAGUCACAAUAUAUAAGUUAUAAAUUCUUGUUACGGUUCGUAUUUGUAAAUGGCGCGAUCUUUCGUUGACAUCUUGCCAUUAUCUUAUUUGAUCUGAUACGAUAUAACGAUUAACAUAGUAGAAUAUAUUUAAAAAAAAUAACACAAAAAAAAAAGAAAAAGAAGACGAAUUGUUUCGCCAUGUUAAAAUAGGACGGAGAUUCAGUAAUGGAUUUUUUUAUUUGCCAUUCUAAUACCAUCAAUCAUGUAUAAUAUUACAGAUUUUAGAAAUAAGCUUACGCGAUAAGAAUGCAAUAAUACCUCUGUAAUGUCAUAAAAGUACGUCUCAUAAAAAUUUUAAUUCGUUUGUUUCUUUCACGAAGAUAUAGAUAUAUUACUUUAUUACAUUACAGUGAGCUCUUUUCAAUAAGUAUUAAUACUUUGUUCAAUAUUAUUUUUAUAUUUUAUUUUUGUUUACCAAUGAAUAUGCAAUAAUUAAGUAUCUGUAUUUUGAAAUAAAAGUAAAUUUGUAAAAUUUAAAUACGAUAUAUUGGAAAAUGAACAGCGGAAAAAUGUGCAAAAAAAUGUUUUAUUUUCAUUGUUUAAAAAAUUGAUCCGCUUACCAUUCGAAUUGCUCAUAAUCGCCUCAAAAUAGCUUCGAGAUCGUUUAUCUAAAUAAGGUCAGUGAUUCUGUAUUAGAAACUUUCGCUUUUUCAAGACGUAGUUGUCAGCUUAGAAAACUUUUCUCUCCCUUUAUAUCGCACUGAAAAUAAUUAAAUAUUUACAAUGCAUUCAAUUGUUACGUUAUUGUCAUAUUUAAAUAUCUUUCCUAUGCAUUAUUGGAUAAAAUUCUUACAAUUUUCAUGAUUUACUCGAAUUGUAAAAUUGUAAAAGAAUUUUGACAAAACAUUCAAUCAUCGAAGAAAUUCAAAGCUUAUCCGCGCAAGUCAAGACUCGCGAUAACCUUUUCCUUGAAAAAUCAUUUUAAAGCGGAAGUGACGCGAAAGAUAAAUCAUGGUCGUAUGCGAUUACGUUGACCGUGCACUUGAAUUACACACAGUUAGUACAGCCGUUGUACAGUCAAAUAACGAAAUAAUUCAUUACUCAAAUCAUUCAUACCGUCUAAAUAAAGUUCACAGCUUUUGUAUGAAGUUAGUGCAUAUGCAACUGAUGUAUCGAGAGACUAUAUAACCCGAAAAGAAAGUAAUUUGGUACUAUAAGUGAUGAAUACAUGCUGAUAAGGUGCCAUUAAUGAGUGAAUUACGUUCUCGAAGUUGAUGGCUGUGGGGAGUGGGAAGCAACGGUGUUUGGCGUUGGUGGCGGUGGAGGAUGUUAUUAAUCUCGGAAUAGACGUCAUGCGCGAUCGAGGACGAUCAUGGCUCUCGGCGUACCUCAUGAGGAUAAAUGGAUAGUAGAGGAAGACAGAGAGGGAGAGAAAGGAAGAGGAAGAGGAAGAGGAAGAUAGCAUGGCUCGAGAAGGUGAGGGUGGAGGGAGAAGAACAUCGAUGUUUCCGAGAGUUCAUUCUUCACGGUCGAGCGACUUUUUCAAGGCGAGAGAGAUCAUCCCUCCUCGAGUCCAAGACGAAUGGUCGUAUCUACUACCUUUGCCUGCUCCAUUAUCACAGCAUAACGACAACGACGACGACUAGGAAGAGUUUUCGAAUCUACCGAUGCGUUCGUGGAUCGAAUUUGACUUUGUAAGGCCGUGAAUAAAAAUGGUAUAGGCAUGUAAGUAGUUAGGCAUAUAUCUUCUUGAGGAUAGCAAAGGAAAUAAGAUAAUAUCCCAUCUGAGUAAUAAAUGGAAGAUAGUGAAUGCCGAAGUCUAAUUCUCUUACAUAAUUCUCGAUUAUCUUCCAUUGCCACGAGAUUUUUUUAUUUCCCCUCUUCAGUUCCCUCCGUAUCCGCAUAAUUGUGCGAAAAUCGGGAAGAACAAUUGUAGGAAGUCAAGACAGUAGAAGGGUAUAUCGGUGAGCUUUAAAUCCUUCAGACAGUUUUCUUUGAUCAUUCUCGCUCGUAUCAUCUAUCGUUGCUCUGCUCUACUUUUCUUAAUUAUUUCUUUUUUUUUUUUUUUGAAGAUGGUAAUAAUAACGAGACAGAUGGAUGGAUCGAAUCUCAUUUUGAAACUUGUUUGAUUUUUGUUCUUUGUUUAUAUUUUUUGCAUAAAAUGUUGUUUUAUCGAAUAUGCUUUUAUUUUUUGUUAACUUUAAACUUACUACAUUUAACAUAUUUGAAACUCGGCUCUGA
Molecule: long non-coding RNA, 5118 nt
Organism: Vespa velutina
Lineage: Eukaryota; Metazoa; Arthropoda; Insecta; Hymenoptera; Vespidae
Exons: 5
Source: RefSeq, a predicted model, not a curated record